UGCCUGAAAAGUGUAAGUUUGCAAGGGAGAAAGAAUGCCAGUUUCGGAGCUCAACAAAAAACUUACAAGGUUCCCAACCCAAAAAGGAAUCCGAAGACUCUGGCUUCCAGCCCUGUCUGAAAGGACCCUCAGCAAAGGCCAGGGGGGCAGGAGACUCAAACCCGUUUGGGGAAGAGAAAUCAAAGUUCCUAGCUAAGACUGUGUGUCCCAGCCCUUGGAAGAAGGGAGAGAGAGAGAGAGAGAGAUCUUUGGAGGCGGCUUUCUCCAGGAAGAGAUAAGUCGUUUUGUUUUUGUAGAUGUGCUCACGGGCCACGCACGUCCCAGGAGGGGGGCGGGGAGAGGGGGACCACAGUAAAUCCUGGGCUCUGGGGCGCCCCCCUAACCCACUUUUCGUGCUGUCCCCUUCCCCGGGGUCGCCGCCCCACCCCAGGUGGAAGUCCUGACCCGGAGGGCAGCACUGCGCGCGGCGUGGGAGGCCGCCCGCUCCCCACCCUAAGCGGCGGCGACCCCGGGGCGCUGGGCGUGCGGGGACUCCGGGGCGGCCCGUGCCCGAGCACCCUCGCGCGGGCUCCCCGGUCGCCCCGAACCUCGGGCGUGUGCACGGACCCCCGGGCCACCGCCUGGGCGGCUGGCGCCUCAGCCCCCCCAGCGGAAGGGAAAGGAGAUUGAGGAGGGGAAGAAGCAGUAAACAGCUCCAGCGUCCGGGCCUCGCCUCGGAGAGAGCCCCGCUCCCCAGGCCCUGCCGCCGGCCGUCGGGACCCCCCCGCUGUCCCCGGGGCCGCGCUGUCCCGGACCCGGAGCACCCGAGGGGAGUCCAGGCCUCUCCCCGGAUGGCUCUGGAAGCUCCUGAAGCGACCCGGGCAGCGGAGAACGGGGAAGUCAGGACUUACCUGUCAUUACUUUCUACGCCAUCUUGGAUCCACUUGUCAACGUCCCCACAAAGCAUUAUGGGGAUGCAAGGACGCCAGCAUGAGCACGCCUGAGAGCGGUCCCCCAGCUCCGGGUCCUUGCUAACGCUCGCGCUUCCCGCCACGCGGCAUCCGCCACGCACGUCGCACCCGCGCGCGGGGGACAGUGCCUGUAUCCUGGGAAGACAGUCUGGGUCCCCCGGAUUCCAGGAACUCUGUGAACGCCGAGUCAACCCGCCAGCGAAGCGCCAAUUGGGGUUUGAGAAGGUUAAGCUAAACGCAACUUUACCCCCAGUUCACUCAGCUUUGCGCAGUCUCCUCCUCGAACCGGGUAAUGUGAUCCACGACCCUCUAGGUCGGAGGACCCCUCCCCUAGGAAUGUGGCUUUCGGCUCGGUAGGAUCCACUGGUUUAGAGUCCAAACUGCGGACUGUGACUUCCCCCGGCAGGGCGGCGACCCCAGGCGGCGGGACAAGGUAGAAGGCGGGCGCCACGCUGGCUCGGGGCAGAGAGAGGAGGGGGAUGUCCAGAGUGGCUCGGAGGCGACUAGGGCGCAGGAAGUAGGAGGCGACCGUGCGCCGGCUACAGACCUCAGCGAGCAUCCCGCGGGCAUCUGCUCUCUCGCUGCAAGACAAGCCGCGGGCUCUCUCCGCCCCUCCGGUUUGCUUCGGGCGUGCGACACCUAGCCCAGGUGACCAACCCCGUUGCUCCCUGAAUUACCAGCUCCUCGCAGCCCUUGUCCUGCCAGAAAUGGAGGUCUGUUGAUUAACUCCCCACCCCCACCCUGUAUGUUCUCUUUCCAAAGCCCCCAGUGUCAGCAUUGCUGAGUUCGGGGACCUCCGGUUGCUUGCCUACCCCGAACCGAACAAGAUUUGGUAUCCAAAAAAAAAAUCCUCCAAGACUUUC
Peromyscus californicus insignis is the source of this 1813-nucleotide long non-coding RNA. RefSeq lists it as uncharacterized. NCBI's taxonomy places the organism in Eukaryota, Metazoa, Chordata, Mammalia, Rodentia, Cricetidae. The transcript has 3 exons. The record is from RefSeq and is a predicted model, not a curated record.